UACGAAGGGUGCAAGCGUUAUUCGGAAUCACUGGGCGUAAAGGGUGUGUAGACGGUACAUUAAGUUCGUCGUUAAAGGCUCCGGCCUAACCGGAGUAUUGCGAUGAAAACUGGUGAGCUAGAGGGUGAGAGAGAGAAGUGGAAUUCCCGGAGUAGCGGUAAAAUGCGUGGAUCUCGGGAGGAACACCAAUGGCGAAGGCAGCUUCUUGGCUCAUUCCUGACGUUGAGGCACGAAAGCGUGGGGAGCAAACAGG
RNAcentral lists this ribosomal RNA (253 nucleotides) under uncultured bacterium. Its description in RNAcentral is "partial 16S ribosomal RNA". It matches the Rfam family "Bacterial small subunit ribosomal RNA", at positions 524 to 776 of the family's 1533-position model. The record is from RNAcentral.